Molecule: long non-coding RNA, 16329 nt
Filed under: Gossypium barbadense (sea-island cotton)
Lineage: Eukaryota; Viridiplantae; Streptophyta; Magnoliopsida; Malvales; Malvaceae
Description: long non-coding RNA (GBAR_LNC000483)
Source: RNAcentral
CGUCUAUGAAGUUUUUAAAAUUCCACAAACAAAUUGAAGAUACUACAUGUGUCUUGUAAGGUGUAGUGGGCCAAAUUUGCCCGGCCCGAAUAAAAACAAUAAAUGAUAUAAAAAUCUAGAUAUCAAUAGUCCAUUAUUUACAACCCAAAAUCAAACCAAAUUAACCCCAAUGUUUCAAGACCCAAAUUACAAAUCCAUUUACAAAAUGACAUAGCCCAAUACCCCAAACGGCCCAGAAACUGAGCCCCAUUUUGGCAAACCCUAGGGCAAGGGUCUCCUUGUGCCGCAGCCCUCACUAGCAGCCAAACCACAUUGCGCCAGACAACGCCUCCAACAGCACCAGCGCACAGCCCUCGUACGCCACGCCCGUACCUCCGUACGAUGCCAGCAGACUCCGUACCUGCGAAAAAGACACACAGAACAGCAGCGAAUAGGGAAGAAGAAAAUAGCAUUUUCAUUUUUUGAUUUUUCUUUCUUUUCGGCUAUAAAGGCCAUGUAAUAGCCUAGGUGAGUUUUUUACGCAACAUAAACGCACAAUAGGCCAUACAGACACAAUCAAUACAUUUUGAAAUACAAAAAAGCAACGAGCAUUCGAAGGUGAUUCCGAUUCAUAAUUUCUGAGAUUUUUUCCUUUUCUUCUUGGCUUAGUUUCAUUCUCCCUGGAAUUUCUUUUUGUUCUUUCGCAUUUUGGGUUGUAUAAAAGAGAGAGGAAAUGAAAUCUUACCCCGUGAAUACGCCGUGAGAUAUCCUCUGAUUCGUUGAAAUCGGGGUCCGAGAGGAGUAUAAGGCGGAAAGAAAACCAUCUUGAGGCUCGAACAGGCCGAUCUCCAUUCAUUGCGGUGGAUUGGCAUGGCAGAUGGAGGGUCAAGGUUCGUUUGAGGGGAGUAAAAAUGGAGGCUAGGGUUUGGAGGUGCUGGCUUAAUCUGCUGAUUGAGCCAUUUUAUAGGACCUCAAACUGUGUCGCAUUGACAUCAAAGCCCGACCCGAUUCGAUUCCAAACCCGAUGACCCGCGUGUUUUUGCGGUGAGGGACUAUUUGCACAUUAAAUCCCUCCCUUUUGCGCCACGUUUAAAUCAAUCCAUAUUUUUAUUCCAUUUCUUUUAAUUUAGGCUUGUAUUUUGAGCUCAUUUGCAAUGGGGUCCGCACAUGUACACAGCGUUUUGGGAGUCUGGAAUAAUUUCAGUUUUGAUCCUUGCAUAUUCGUAUACAUUAUGCGCUGGCCCUUAUCUGUAUUUACAAAUUAUCCUUCCAUUUUAACGUGGUUUCAAUUAGACCCUCUCUUUUAUGUGAUUUCAAUUAUUUUUUUUAGAUUCACCUCAUGUUUUAUUUUAUUUUACUUGUGUUCAUUUACUCGUGUUCAUCGUCUAACUUGCAUCAUUUACUUAUUGUAAUUUGGGUAACUAUGCUUUCAUAUUUUGCGUAUUACCUCAUGUAAUUGUUUUCUUUAUAUACGCUAUUGUACAUAUAUAUUUGUACUUUACAUUAAAGUCAAUUUCAUUUCAUAUAUAUAUACAUUGUUAACCUUAUGUUAUUUUAUACAUGUGUUGUCUUAAAUUUAUUAUUGUAGUUUAUUACAUGGUCCUAUAUAAUAUAUUUUCUCAAUUAUUAUUAUAUACAUAUAUGUUUAUAGAUAUCUAUACUUGAUAUCUAUAUAUAUAUUAUUAAAUCUAUGUAUUUUAUGCAUGUAGUUUUUCUCUUUUUUCAUAUAUGUAAGUAUAUUCUUCAAUUCAUUAUAUAAUUUAUAAUAAAAUCAGUUUUAGCUUGCAUAUAUUUCUAUGUUUUUUACAAAUAAUUAUUUUUUAAAAAAAGGGGGGUUAUUUAUAUAUAUAUAAUUUGUAGAUCCAUUGCAUUUUUGAAGAUUAUAUCGUACUAUAUAUUUUUAUUAUUACCGUUUUUAAUAUAUUUUACACAUACUUUAAAUUAUUAUUCUAUACAUCCUCGUUUUUUUUUUAAAAAUCAAUAUUAUUCUACGUUUUGGUAUGAUUUUCGAUUUAAACAUUCAUUUUAUAAUAUUUUUUAAAAUGAUUAAGCGUAUAUCCCUAGUUUUUCCUUUUUUACAAAUAAAUUUUAAAUGCACCAAUUCAUUAAUUUGCAUGUCAUAAAGAUUUUUGGUUCAUUAGAUCGCAUUUGUUCCGACAUCGUCUUAUACCACUUUGACUUCUAAAUUCUAUUUUGUUUUGCAUACGCUCUUUUGGUUGCUUUAUAUAUGUACAUUCCUUGCGUGGCAUCCACCUUAUUGAACUGUUAAUUACUCAUCAUAUAUGAUUGAAAUUAGGCUAUAAUUCCUAGAUUAAUUAUAUUUAAUUGCUUGUUCUGCUAGUUGAUUCAUUAAGUAUUGUAUCUCGUAUGUGUAUAUUACCUCAUUCAUCGUUUUCCAUUUGAUUUUCGAAAUGCGGUUUUAUAAAAUCCAAAUUUUAUGAUUAAUCUCGUACUAUUUCAAAUUGAAUUAAUACGUCUUAAGCUAGCUCUAUAAUCAUUCAUUCAAAAAUUCUUUAAAAACGAAGGCAAGAUUCGAUGUUUGGCAAUUCGUGGAAUCGUGCCCUAACGUGUUGGGUUGCGAUUUCGCGUUUGCUCAAAAUAAUCGAAUAUCACUUCGAAAUUUCACUCACGCCUUUUAAAAUUCCUCAAAACGAAGACGAGGUUUGAUAUUUAGCAAUUCGCAGAAUCGUGCCCUAACGUGUUGGGUUGCAAUUUUGCGUUUGUUCAAAAUAAUCGGGCUUCCCUUCAAAAUUCCAUUCAUAUCUCCUAAAAUUUUUUAAAUGAAGGCAAUGUUCGACGUUUGAUAAUUUGAGAAUCAUGCUCUAUCGCGUUGGGUUGUGGUUCCUGGUUUGCUCAAAAUGAUCGAACAUUCCUUUACAUUCUCACUCAUGUUUAUAAAAAAAAUACUUAAAAACGAAAACGAUGUUCAAUGUUUGGCGAUUUGAGAAUCGUGCCCUAUCGUGCUGGGUUGCGCUUUUUCAUUGGUCUGAAACAAUUGAAGAUCCCUUCAGAAUUUCCCUCGCACUUUCUAAAAUCUUUUAAAAUAAAGGCGAUGUUCGAUGUUUGGCGAUUUGAGAAUCGAGCCCUAUCAUGCUGGGUUGCGCUUUCUCAUUUGCCCAAAAUAAUCGAAUAUCUCCUCGAAAUUUUCACACGUAUUUUAUAAAGUAAGGCAAUGGUCAAUAUUUAGAAAUUCGAAGAAUCGUACCCUACUGUGCUGGGUUUCGAUUUUUCGUUGGACUAAAUAGUUGAGCAUCAUUCUGUAAUUCUCAAAUUAUAUACCUUCGGGCAUCGAAACAAGAAAUUUUGGCAACCAAGUCGGAUCACUCAAACGUUAUAAAAGGAACCACAUUUCAAAAAACUUUUAAUUUUAGACAUAAGGACAGUAUUUAAUUGACUUGGUACCAAUUUUGGGCGUAGUGAGGGUGCUAAUCCUUCCUCAUGCGUAACCGACUCCCGAACCUGUUUUCUCAAAAGUUCGUAGACCAAAAUUAUUGUUUUAAUAAACCAAAAAUGUUUAUUUAAACUAACCUCAUUUUUAGGUGAUUCGAUCACACCAAAAUAAAAGAUCGGUGGCGACUCCAUAUUUUCAUUUUCCAAAAAGUCGAUUCCACCAUUUUUCAUUAAAAUAAUUUUUUUUUAAAAUCGUGGGAUGGUUUCGACAGCUUGGCGACUCCGGUGGGGAUUUGAACUUGAGAGUCGAGCCAUAAAAAUCGAUUAUUUACUGUCCUUUUGUUAAAAAACCGAAAAUUUAUUUUAAAAAUCAUGUAUAUUUCGAUUGCAUUUGAUUGUAUGUUUGUGCGGGCCUUGUAGAAUAGCACUGCAUUUCAUUGCAUGACCACUGUGGUUACACCUUCUAAGUGGAAGUAAGAAGCUACGCUUUCGUGAGGUUUUCACCUCCGCAUGGGCUAGUGGAUUGCUUCCGGGGUACAUCCGUACCUAUGAUUUCGUGAGAUUUUCAUCUCUGCAUGGUCAUAGGGAAAUGUAUCCCCUCGAACCGAACUCGAUCUAUAUGAGCUUAUAAUGGGUGAGGAUUGAGGAAUCUGCUGGUUCGGGUACCCAUUUUCCUAGAACUAAACCACAUAUAGUGAACCUUAGGAGCUAUCCUUGGGUGGAGCCGCGUCGAACCUUAGUACUUACCCGUACAUGCGUUAUAAUCACCGUUUAUGUGCUUGCAUUCUAUUGCUAUUAUUUGAUACUAACCGAUGUUUUGUUUUGAUUGUCUUUUUUGCAUGACAUUGCAUAUUAAAGGAGGCGUUAAUCUACAUUCAAUUACUAAGUUAGAAAAUUUGACAUGGAGAAUGAAUUUUUUAGUAAAGUCGAGGAUAAUGCGGCCGUUCGUGCUUGGUCGGAGAGGCUACAAUCUGAGAGAGGGGAUAGCUUGGCAGAAGGGUAUGUGUCGGAGCUGUAGGAUUUCACUCGCGUCAAUGUAGUACAGAAUAAGCUGCAAUAGUUGAGAGACAUUUGGGUUAGUUGGGAUGAAAGGAUCAAGCAGUUGUUUUACCAAAGUUAUGGUGACAUAUCCUACCUGCUAGACAUUAAAGUGGAUAAGCAUUUGUUCCGAGCCUUGGUGCAGUUUUGGAAUUCCGCAUAUAAGUGUUUUACCUUUGGAGAAGUGGAUUUGGUACCUACCAUGGAGGAAUAUACUACGCUGCUUAGAUGUCCAAAGAUUCAGGUCUGGAAGACUUAUGCCCGGGUUUUUAGUAAUCAGGCUUUCGUGAAGAAACUGAUGAGCAUUUCUGGGAUGAGCGAGUCUUGGGUCACUGCUCGGAUUCAGCAGAAAGGAGAUAGCAAAUGUGUCCCUUGGGAGAAUUUGCGAGAUUUGAUCUUGACUCAUCUAGACGAAAGAAAGAGGGUCGAUAUAUUUGCCUUAAGCAUCUACGGAUUAGUGAUCUUUCCUACGGCUUUGAGGCACGUGGACGAGGCGGUCAUUGACUUGUUUGAUCGUCUUGAAAAGGGAAUCACACCGGUACCGGCAAUAUUGGCAGAAACGUUCAGAUCUUUGAGCUUAUGUCAGAAGACGGGUGAGGGGCGAUUUAUUGGAUGUGCUCAACUAUUGAUGGUAUGGUUUCAUGGGAACUUUUGGAAGGUAGACAAGGUUUCCUAUCGAGUCUUUUCCAAAGGUUAUUCCCCUUUGAAAGAAGAGGUAGCUAUACAGAGGAGAAAGGAUAUCUCAGAAGAGAAGUGGAUGGAUAUUUUUCAGAACCUUAAGGAGGAGGAUAUCGAGUGGAGUGCUUAUUGGAUGGUUCCUGAUGAGAUCAUGUACCAAUGUGGUAACUUUGAUUGGGUGCCAUUGUUAGGAAUUUGGGGAGCUACCGGGUAUACUCCGUUGAUAGCCUUGAGGCAAUACAAGUCGAGGCAGUUUGUACCCACGACCUAUGGACUUGCUCAGAGUGAAUUCUCGUUUAAAGGUGCUCACUAUUAAAAGAGAGUUCGGGAGUUAUCGGAUGCUUGGAAGCAAACUUGUUAGAUGAAGAGGUUAGCCGUCGGUUCUAUGGUAACGCCCGAGUACAGCAAGUGGUUUAAGAAGAGGAUUAAUGAUAAUAUUCCUAGGCCAAGCUUAGAGAAUGCUCGGCCUAUCGGGGAACAAUUACAAGUCGCCCCAUCAGAAUUGGAGAUUAUAAAACAAGAUUUCGAGAAGAAGAGUUUGGAGUUUGGUAAGAAGAUCGAACAAUUAGAGGAAGAGAAGAUGCACCUAAGAUUAGAGGCUGAUGUCCAAAGGUCAGAGGCUGAGAAGUGGAGAAAAGGAAAAACUAAGGCUGAAGAAGAUCUAGACAGUUUGAAAAUGGACUACAAAAAGUUACGCCUAUCUAUGAGGAUUGCGGGUUUAGGUAAGACUUCCGAACAAUGGCGCCAUGAAAUUCGGGAAGAAAAAACCAAUACCGACCGGUGGGAAAGGAAAUUUCGAGAAACUCAAGCACGAAACGAAGAUUUGGAGAAAAGUCUAUCAGAAAGCAGAAAUGAGCAAGGGGAAUUAAGGGCUAGAGUGGCAGAACUCGAGAAGUCCCUACAUCAGUACCGAAACCGCAACACCGUGACAGAAUUGAGGGCAAGCUUGAGCAAAAUACAAGAAAUGAAAGGAAGAAUAGAAGAGUUAGAGGCGUCACUGCAAAAUUGUGAUAUGCGAAUCCAGUUUUUUGAGGCAAACGAGGAUCGUUGGAAGGAGCAACUUCACCAUGCGCAAGGCCAAGUUAGAAAUAGGGAUUACCUUAUGGGAGAGGCCAUAACCCAGAUCCGGGAGGUAGCGGACUACUUGCAAACUCUAGCGGUUCAGGCAGACACACUAAGCGUGAAAUAUGAGUUAGAGUCGGAGCGCGAACAAGAGCUGGCCUCAUUGCUUAGAAAAAUUAGGACUUUGAGCGUUAGAGCAAAAUUAUAUUUGUAACUCGACUUUAUGUAAAAGAUUUUAUUUUCAAGUAAAAUUUUCUAAGGGCUGUUGAAUCAAAAUUGAUGCCUCCUUUACAUUCAUGCAUUUGCAUUACAUCAUAUCAUUAUGCAUUAAAGGCCAUUAGAGUUUUCUAAUUAAUUAACUAAAAAUUAUUUCAAUAACCUGGAAACCAAUGAAAACCAACCACGCACCCCUACAGUACAAGGAAAAAAUCAAUGGAUAAGAGACUCGAGAAAUUAGAGCGGAUGCAAAAAGACAUGCAAGAACAAAUACAGUCUCAGAUGCAAGAGCAGCUAGCCAAGAUUCAGUGAGAGAUGAAAGAGCAAAUGAUGGAGUCCCAGAGGGAAAUGAUGAGUCAGUUAUCCCAAUUGUUGUUGGGAGGAACGGAUAAGGGAAAGGGCCCCAUGGACAAAGUUGAAGAAGCUAAUGAGGAUCCUCAAUACCCCCUGGCUUCACUCUGACACAUGUACCGGUGAAGCUCGAGAUUAAUCUACCGAAGCCAUCUGUCACGAUCAUACCCCAGCAGGUUCAGGCUGGAGCUUCAAUACUGAUGAAUUUCCAAACCGGCUUAGGCUCCAACUUUGUCAACAACCCGAACUAUCCGCCCAUUCCCGAUUUGGAUGAAAUUGCUGAAGAAGAAAAGGCGAGGAUGGAUUCGCAAAAACAAUUGGAAAAACGGUGUAGAUGGCUCGAAGAGAAAUUUAAAGCCAUGGAAAGCGCGGAUCAUCAUCAAGGGAUUAAUGCCAAGGACCUAAGUUUAGUCCCAGAUUUAGUCCUUCCCCCCAAAUUCAAAAUGCCCAAGUUCGAGAAAUACAAUGGAACAAGUUGCCCUGAAGCUCAUAUCAUUAUGUUCUGCAGGCGAAUGACGGGAUAUGUUAACAAUGACCAGCUAUUAAUCCACUACUUUCAAGAUAGUUUGGUCGGGGCGGCGUCUAAGUAGUACAACCAAUUAAGCCGCUCUAAGAUUAACUUGUGGAAGGACCUGGCCCAAGCCUUUAUGAAGCAAUACAAUCACGUGACAGACAUGACCCCUGACAGAAUCACUCUCCAGAAUAUGGAGAAGAAAUCGAAUGAAAGCUUCAGGCAGUACGUAUAAAGAUGGAGGGAGGUGGCCAUACAAGUUCAGCCGCCACUUCUAGAAAAGGAGAUAACGAUACUCUUUAUAAAUACCUUGAAGGCCCCUUUUAUCACUCAUAUGUUGGGAAGCGCCACCAAGAGCUUCUCCGACAUAGUGAUGAUGGGAGAAAUGAUCGAAAAUGCUGUAAAGAGCGGCAAGAUAGAAUCGAGAGAGAGUGCUAGGAAGUUAGCCCCGAGGAGAAAAGACAAUGAAGUGAACAACACGAGCACAUUCAACAAGGGGCAGCCCAAGUCAAUUACCGUAAAUCAACCCAAAAUGGUGACUACCAAUCAACAAAGUUCUGUAAGGCAAGAAUCCAAUGCGAGGAAGAACAUAGAAAGGCCACAAUACACCCCUAUACCCAUGUCCUAUAGAGAGUUGUACCAGAACCUGUUCAACGCUCAUGUGGUAUCCCCUUUCUACCUGGAGCCACUGCAGUCCCCGUAUUCCAAAUAGUAUGACGCGAAUGCCCAAUGUGAGUACCACGCGGGAAUCACCGGGCACUCAAUCGAAAAUUGCACUGCGUUUAAGAAAGUGGUCGAAAGACUCAUUAAGGUGGGAAUCAUGAGAUUUGAUGACCCAGCCACGCCCAAUUUAGCAGGAAACCCACUCCCUAAUCAUACCGACCAAGGAGUGAAUGGGAUAAGUGAAGGCUUGAACAAGAAGACCAAGUAUGAGGUGGCAGAAAUCAGGACCUCGUUGAAGCGGGUAUGGAAAGAGAUGACUAAGAGAGGAUUGAUAGCAUUGGAUCCAAGGGAAGAACCCGAAGAAGAGAGAAACUACUGUGAGUUUCAUGACGAGGUGGGGCAUGAAAUCCAAGAAUGUGUGGAAUUCAUGGCCCUCGUGCAGAACAUGAUAGAUAACAAAGAAAUGGAAUUCUAUGAAGAAGCUAAAAGCCUCAUAGAGGGAAAUGUAUGCGCAUCCGAGGGAGAAUCAAAGGCGUAGAAUCAAAUGCCUAAUUAUCCCGUGGUGAUCAUUUCGAGACCCAAAAAUAAUGAAGCUGGAGUAAAAAUGCCAUCGAGGGUCAUAAUCCAAAGACCUGCAGUCUUCCCUUACAAAAACAGUAAAAAGGUCCCAUGAAAUUAUGAUUGCAGUGUGACGAUGCCGGGAAAAGAGAGCCCGGUUAGCGCUUCAAUAAGGGAUCAAGAUAGAGGUUCCUAUACACAUAGCGGGAGGCGUUACGAUACAAUGAAUGAGGAGGAACAGCCCACAAAAGAAAAAGCCCAGGUGGUCAAGGAAAUGAAGGAAAAAGCAACCAAACUUGUUAAUGAGCCAGUUAACGAAGACGAGGCCAAGGAAUUUUUAAAAUUCCUAAAGCACAGCGAAUACAGUGUGGUAGAACAGCUACGUAAACAACCAGCUCGCAUUUCAGUGCUGGCCUUGCUUCUAAGCUCGGAAGUUCAUCGUAGCGCACUAAUGAAGGUCUUAAACGAGACAUAUGUUGCCAAUGAUAUCUCCGUUAACAAGCUGGACCGGUUGGUGAGCAACAUAAGUGCCGACAAUUUUAUCUUCUUUAAUGACGACGAGAUACCACCUGGGGGCAUGGGGUCGACUAAAGCUCUGCAUAUCACCACACGCUGUAAAGGGUACACGCUACUAGGUGUACUGAUUGACAAUGGAUCAGCUUUGAACGUCCUGCCAUUGACCACGCUGAACAGAUUACCUAUAGACAGCUCUCACAUGAAGGAGUGCCAGAACAUCGUGAAGGCAUUCGAUGGCACGGAAAGAAAGGUGAUGGGCAGAAUCGAGGUACCUCUCUAGAUUAGGCCAAACACAUAUGAGGUGGAUUUUCUCGUGAUGGAUAUCAAGCCCUCAUACAAUUGCUUGUUGGGGAGGCUCUGGAUACAUUUAGCUGGGGCAGUACCUUCCCCGUUGCAUCAAAAAUUGAAGCUGGUGUCGGAGGGGAGGUUGAUAACGAUUAAGGCUGAAGAAGAUAUUAUUGCAACUGUGAGCAAUAAUGCACCCUAUUUGGAGACAUAUGACGAAGCAAUCGAAUGCUCAUUUCGAUCUUUGGAAUUUGUUAACGCGACGUUCAUCACCGAGGGAAGCAAAAUUUUGGUGCCGAAAUUGUCCAAAACCACGAGGAUGAGCCUCGAGUUGACGAUUGGAAAAGGGGCCCUACCCGGAAAGGGACUUGGGAGACAUCUACAAGGAAGGAUCGAAACGCCAAUGCUGAAAGAAAAGAGAGACCGCUUCGGCUUAGGAUUUAAGCCGGAUGUGAAACAAAGGAGAAGGGAGCCAGAAAAGAAGCAAGAAAGAAGGAGAGCUCGAUUAAUGGGGGAGCAAAUCAAGUGGGAACCAAUGACAUUCCCCCAUAUAUUGAAAACAUUUGUAUCCAGGGGAAUCAUUCAUCCUGAGAGAGACACGCCAAUGAUGGGAGCUAUAAAAGAAAGUCUGGAAAGUUUGGACAUCAACGUCAUGUACGAAAAGGAGACUGGAAGGGAAAAUUUGUCGGGCAUUUGCCCCUACACGCCUGGAAGUGUUCUGGACAACUAGAUUGCGGAAGAGAUCCUUGUAGUUUUUAGAACGGAUUCAGAGUAAUGUCCAAAACACACUUAUUGCUCUAGGCCUAGGAGUGAUAAGAAUCUUUUGUGAAAUAGGCUGAUGUUUAAAAACGAUAUUUCAAUAAAAUGCACAGUUAUUAUCAUUUUUGAGCAAAUGUUCUCUCGUCCUCUUAAUUUCAUUCAUAACCAUACAAAUGAUUACUUUCGGAUUCUUUUAUUCUUGAAACAUUCUUCUAAGUAUUCUUUCAUUCGUCAUUCAUAAUCAUAUCACGCAAAUAAAUGUUUCGAAUUCUUUUGAUUCUUUGUAUCUGCCUUCGUCCUUAUAACAGGUUCCCAAAUAUUAAUGAUACGAGUGACACUGCUAGCGACUCAGAAUUUCCUUUCGAGCAAGAUGUAUGUAUGGAUGAUUCUUAGGAUUUUGAAGAUGACCAAGGCUGUAACCUAUCUCUUGAUUUGUUGAAGAUGGAGGAACAAGACGAGAAAUAAAUCCUACCUCACAAAGAAUUAAUCGAAAUUGUGAGCUUAGGAGAAGGACAAGAGGUAAAGAUCGGAAUAAGUAUCACUGCGAAAAUGAAGCGAGACCUCAUUGAAUUACUUUAAGAAUUCAAAGGUGUCUUCGCAUGGUCAUACCAAGAUAUGCCCGGGUUGGACACUGACAUCGUGGUGCAUCGACUUCCCAUAAAAGAAUAGUGUAAGCCAGUUUAGCAAAAACUCCGAAGAAUGAGGCCCGAUGUCUUGCUAAAAAUAAAGGAAGAGGUUCGAAAGCAGUUUGACGUUGGAUUUCUGAAGGUGGUAAAAUACUCAGAUUGGGUAGCCAACAUCAUCCCUGUCCCUAAGAAAGAUGGAAAAGUGCUAAUGUGUGUAGACUACAGAGAUUUGAAUAAAGCCAGCCCAAAAGACAAUUUCCCACUGCCUCAUAUCGACACCCUAGUGGACAACAUGGCGGGACAUUCACUGUUUUCAUUCAUGGAUGAUUUUUUGGGAUACAACCAGAUCAAGAUGCAUCCUGAAGAUAUGAAGAAGACCAUAUUUGUAACCAUGUAGGGCACGUUCUGUUACAAGGUGAUGCCGUUUGGAUUGAAGAAUGCGGGGACAACUUAUCAAAGAGCUAUGGUAACCUUUUUUCACGACAUGAUGCAUAAAGAAAUCGAGGUUUAUGUCGAUGACAUGAUCGUAAAGUCUCGAACAGAGAAGGAGCACAUACAAGUCUUGAGGAAAUUGUUCUUGAGGUUGAGGAAGUUCCAGCUAAAACUCAACCCAGCCAAAUGUACCUUCGGAGCUAAAUCCGGAAAGUUGCUCGGAUUCGUGGUUAGUGAGAAAGGGAUUGAGAUCGAUCUAGACAAAGUUAAAGCCAUACAAGAGUUAUCCUCGCCGCGCACUAAAAAAGAAGUUCGAGGCUUUCUAGGAAGAUUAAAUUACAUUGCUCGGUUCAUUUCACAACUGACCGAGAAAUGUGGCCCUGUCUUUCGCCUCCUCAAGAAACAUAACCCAGGUGAAUGGGAUGAAGAAUGCCAAAGGGCUUUCGACAAGGUUAAACAGUACUUAUCCAACGCCCCGGUGCUGAUGCCACCUAACCCCGAUAAGCCGUUGAUACUGUAUUUGGCAGUAUUCGAGAACUCUAUGAGAUGCAUGCUGGCUCAGCAUGAUGAGUCAGGAAGGAAAGAAAAAGCUAUUUACUAUCUCAGUAAAAAGUUUACGGAAUGUGAGACAAUGUACCCGUCGAUAGAGAAGUUGUGUUGUGCCCUAAUAUGGACAACCCGCAGGCUGAGGCAAUAUAUGUUGUAUCACACCACUUGGCUCAUAUCAAAGUUGGACCCUUUAAAGUACAUGAUGGAGUCAACAACCUUAAAUGGAAGGAUGGCCCGAUGACAGAUUCUGCUUUCUAAAUUCAACAUAGUCUAUGUGAACCAAAAAGUAAUAAAAGGAAGUGCGAUAGCAGAUUUUCUAGCCAGUAGAGCUUUGGAAGACUACGAGCCUUUGAACUUCGACUUUCCGAAUGAAGACCUAAUGUGUAUUGCUACGACUGAAGAAGGUGCUCUGGAAGAACUUCUUUGGAAACUGAACUUCGAUGGGGCAUCAAAUGCUGUGGGCAAUGGAAUCGGGGCCGUCUUGGUAUCCCCAAAACGAGAUCAUUACCCAUUCACUAGUAAAUUGGAUUUUGAUUGUACAAAAAAUAUGGUGGAAUAUGAAGCGUGCAUCAUGGGUAUCCGUGCAGCCAUAGAACGUAAGAUUAAAGUGCGAGAGGUGUAUGGAGAUUCUGCGCUAGUGAUUUAUCAACUCAAGGGAGAAUGGGAGACUAGAGACCUCAAGUUAAUCGAUUAUCGGAAGCUGGUCCUUGAGUUGAUUAAAGAGUUUGAUGACAUUACCUUCCACUACCUUCCACGAGACAAAAAUCAGAUGGCUGACGCUUUGGCUACCUUAGCCUCCAUGAUCAAGGUGAACAAACAAGAAGAUGUCAAACCCAUCCGAAUGAACAUUUAUGAAAUUCCGGCCCAUUCUUACAAUAUUGAAAAAGAUGAAGAGAAAGAUGAUCACCCUUGGUAUCACGAUAUAUUGCAAUAUGUGAAGAAUCGUGAGUACCCGGACCAGGCAAGCGAGAAUGAAAAAAGAACGCUAAGAAGAUUGGCCAUCGACUACGUCUUAGAUGGGGAUAUAUUAUACAAAAGAAGAAAGGAUCAAGUGCUACUAAGAUGUGUAGACGCUGUAGAGGCUAGGAAAAUCUUGGAAGAAGUCCAUGAAGGCGUCUGUGGGACACAUGCUAAUGGCUUUACAAUGGCCAGGCAAAUUAUGAGAUUCGGGUACUAUUGGUCCACCAUGGAAGGAGACUGUGUCAAUUACGCUAAGAGAUGUCAUAAGUGUCAAAUCUACGGAGACAAAAUUCUUGUGCCUCCUUCACCGUUGCAUGUCAUGGUUUCUUCAUGGCCAUUCUCUAUGUGGGGCAUGGAUGUGAUUAGACCAAUAUCGCCGAAAGCUACCAAUGGGCAUCGAUUCAUCUUCGUGGUUAUCGACUACUUCACCAAGUGGGUAGAAACUGCUUCGUAUGCUAGUGUGACCAAGUCGGCAGUGAGCAAGUUUCUGAAAAAGGAUAUUAUAUGUCGAUAUGGAAUGCCGGAGAGGAUUAUAUCCGACAAUGCAUUAAACUUGAACAAUAGUACGAUAGCAGAAGUCUGCAGUCAAUUCAAGAACAGACAUCACAACUCGUCACCAUAUCGCCCAAAGAUGAAUGGGGCAGUGGAAGCGGCCAAUACAAACAUUAAGAAAAUUGUGGGGAAGAUGACCAAAACCUACAGAGACUGGCAUGAGAAGUUACCAUUUGCCCUCUUCGCUUAUCGAACGUCAGUCAAAACCUCAACUGGGGCAGCCCCUUUUUCUUUGGUCUACGGAAUGGAAGCGGUGUUGCCGAUCGAGGUCGAGAUCCCGUCCCUUCGAGUGUUGUUGGAGUUAAAUUUGGAAGAAGCCGAGUGGAUCCAAUCUCGAUAUGAUCAAUUGAACCUAACGAGGAAAAAAGGUUAAAAGCUAUUCGUCAUGGUCAGAUGUACCAAAAAUGAAUGAUGCAGGCUUAUGAUAAAAAGGUUCGUCCUAGAGAAUUCCACGAGGGAGACCUGGUUUUGAAAAAGAUUCUUCCCAUACAGAAAUAUUUUCGGGGAAAAUGGAUGCCUAAUUGGGAAGGGCCUUACGUAGUGAAGAAAGCUUUCACUGGAGUAGCAUUGAUUCUAGCCGAGAUGGACGAUAGAAACUUGCCCAAUCCUGUAAACUCGGACUCGGUCAAGAAGUAUUUUACCUGAAGAAAGAGAGGCCUGAGUGAAAACCCACAAAGGGUGCUCUGAAAUCCAAAAAAAAACCCGGAGAGGCCAAGGUGAAAACCCACAAAGGGUAUUUUGGAACCAAAGGGGCUUUUGAGUUGAAAACCCAAAAACGGGCAGCUCAAAUUUUGAAUAUGGGGCAUAUGGCGGUCUUGUCCUUCCAAAAUCAACAAGACAGAAGAACAUUACACCUUGGAGCAUCAACAAAAUACGCGGGAUCUCCUGAACACACAUUUGGUUCGAAUGAACCUUUGAGAAAUUAGAAUAGUGAAACUCGUGCUGCGAUAUCUGGGGCAUCUUUUUCUCAUUUUUCGCACCUUACCAGAUUCAUUAUCCUAUGUAUUCACAUCAAAAUUUGCUUAAUAAAAUGACAUUUGUCCAUUAUGAUAAUCUCUUUCGAGCAGUUUUGUCGAAAUCGCGAUUUUUGAACAUGUAAUAUCUACAUAAAAGAUGUUAUGCAUAUUACUCUGGAAAAGUCUCUAAAUAGUACAAGGACCUGAAACAGGGCCACUAGUCAGAACUAACCAGGUUCAAAGUUGGAAAAUAUUGGAAAAAGAGAAAUCCAAAUUAGGACUAUUUCUUCAAAUUUUCUGGCAGAGAUAACGGCUAAGUAAGAAAACGUGAUAGCACAUCAAUGAUGGAACCCGGACGAAUCAUGAGCAAUGAUACCUUAAACGUUUGAAGAGGAAUUAUUCUCAUAGCACUUCUACAUUCAUAAUCAUUCAUUUAGUUAGGAGCACUUGAUUCAUUUCGAUCAUAGCAUUCUAAUUAUCUGACAUAAACACCACAUCUAGUUAGGGACAUUUGAUUCAUCUCGAUCAUAGUAUCCUAAUUACUUGAUACAGGAAACCAAUUCUACAAAUCAUGUCUUUGGAAGACAGUGUAGUGACAUUGGCGAAUCCUACAGAUCCUGCUUCCCUGAAGUUGCAGUGGAGCAGAUCGAAGACGACAAAUCUUGACUUCCUGAAGUUGCAGUGAAGUAGAUUUAAGUCACUAACCUAGCUCCCUAAAGUUGUAGUGGAGUAGGUUGAGAUUUUAGAUCCUACUUCCCUGAAGUUACAGUGGAGCAGAUCAAAAACGACGAAUCCUGACUUCCUGAAGUUGCAGUGAAGCAGAUUUAAGUCACUAACCUUGUUCCCUAAAGUUGUAGUGGAGUAGGUUAAAAUUUUAGAUCUCGUUUCCCUGAAGUUGCAGUGGAGUAAAUCAAAGACAACGAAUCUUGACUUCCUGAAGUUGCAGCAAAGCAGAUUUAAGUCACUAACCUAGCUCCCUAAAGUUGUAGUGGAGUAGGUUGAAAUUUUCGAUCUCGUUUCCCUGAAGUUGCAGUGGAGCAGAUCGAAGACGGCGAAUCUGAGCUUCUUGAAGUUGCAGUGAAGCAGAUUUAAGCCACUAACCUAGCUCCCUAGAGUUGUAGUAGAGUAGGUUGAAAUUUUAGAUCUCGUUUCCCUGAAGUUGCAGUGGAGCAGAUCGAAGACGGCGAAUCUGAGCUUCCUGAAGUUGCAGUGAAGUAGAUUUAAGCCACCAACCCAGCUCCCUAAAGUUGUAGUGGAGUAGGUUGAAAUUUUAGAUUUUGUUUCCCUGAAGUUGCAGUGAAACAGAUCGAAGACGGUGAAUCUUGACUUCUUGAAAUUGCAAUGAAGUAGAUUUAAGCCACCAUCCUAGCUCCCUAAAGUUGUAGCGGAGUAGGUUGAAGAUUGUAGAUCUUGUCUCCCUGAAGUUGCAGUGGAGCAUAUUGAAGCUACUUGAAGAAAAAAAGUACCAAGAAGUCGAGGCUCAGCAGGUCCUGGCAAAUUUGGCCCAUUUAUAGUCUUUACUUUAUUCUCGUUACACGACAAUAUGCAAAGAAGGGCAGCUGUAGUGGGCCAAAUUUGCCCGGUCCGAAUAAAAAUAAUAAAUGAUAUAAAAAUCUAGAUAUCAAUAGUCCAUUAUCUGUCCAAUUACAACCCAAAAUCAAACCAAAUUAACCCUAAUGUUUCAAGACACAAAUUACAAGUCCAUUUACAAAAUGACAUAGCCCAAUACCCCAAACGGCCCAGAAACUGAGCCCCAUUUUGGCAAACCCUAGGGCAAGGGUCUCCUUGUGCCGCAGCCCUCACUAGUGGCCAAACCACAUUGCGCCAGACAACGCCUCCAACAGCACCAGUGCACAGCCCUCGUACGCCACGCCCGUACCUCCGUACGAUGCAGGCAGACUCCGUACCUGCGAAAAAGGCACAUAGAACAGCAGCGAAUGGGGAAGAAGAAAAUAGCAUUUUCAUUUUUUGAUUUUUCUUUCUUUUCGACUAUAAAGGCCAUGUAAUAGCCUAGGUGAGUUUUUUACGCAACAUAAACGCACAAUAGGCCAUACAGACACAAUCAAUACAUUUUGAAAUACAAAAAAGCAACGAGCAUUCGAAGGUGAUUCCGAUUCAUAAUUUCUGAGAUUUUUUCCUUUUCUUCUUGGCUUAGUUUCAUUCUCCCUGGAAUUUCUUUUUAUUCUUUCGCAUUUUGGGUUGUAUAAAAGAGAGAGGAAAUGAAAUCUUACCCCGUGAAUACGCUGUG